GCCUGGCUGACUCAGUUGGUAAUGUAUGUGACUUUUGAUCUCAAGGUUGUGAGUUCAAGCCCCAUGUUGGGUA
RNAcentral lists this transfer RNA (73 nucleotides) under Mustela putorius furo (domestic ferret). It matches the Rfam family "tRNA". Rfam says of the family: Transfer RNA (tRNA) molecules are approximately 80 nucleotides in length. The record is from Rfam by way of RNAcentral. Lineage: Eukaryota; Metazoa; Chordata; Mammalia; Carnivora; Mustelidae.